UGUCUGGAGGACUAGUGGUUAGGCCCUGGCGCUCUCACUGCCGCGGCCCAGGUUCGAUUCCUGGCCAAGGAA
This 72-nucleotide transfer RNA is filed under the name Pangasianodon hypophthalmus (striped catfish). RNAcentral's name for it is "tRNA-Glu". Lineage: Eukaryota; Metazoa; Chordata; Actinopteri; Siluriformes; Pangasiidae. The record is from RNAcentral.